UGGGUAUGUUAAUAGCAUACUCAUUUGACGUUAGCUGCAGAAGAAGCACCGGCUAACUCCGUGCCAGCAGCCGCGGUAAUACGGAGGGUGCGAGCGUUAAUCGGAAUUACUGGGCGUAAAGCGCAUGCAGGUGGUUUGUUAAGUCAGAUGUGAAAGCCCGGGGCUCAACCUCGGAAUUGCAUUUGAAACUGGCAAACUAGAGUACUGUAGAGGGGGUAGAAUUUCAGGUGUAGCGGUGAAAUGCGUAGAGAUCUGAAGGAAUACCGGUGGCGAAGGCGGCCCCCUGGACAGAUACUGACACUCAGAUGCGAAAGCGUGGGGAGCAAACAGGAUUAGAUACCCUGGUAG
RNAcentral lists this ribosomal RNA (348 nucleotides) under uncultured bacterium. RNAcentral's name for it is "bacterial SSU rRNA". It matches the Rfam family "Bacterial small subunit ribosomal RNA", at positions 445 to 793 of the family's 1533-position model. The record is from RNAcentral.